UCGCGUCUUACGACGGCAGUUUCUUUAGAGUUCCCAGCUUAACCUGUUGGCAACUAGUGAUGGGGGUUGCGCUCGUCGCGGGACUUAACCCAACACCUCACGGCACGAGCUGACGACAGCCAUGCAGCACCUUAUCACGCGCCCAUUGCUGGGAAGGGAGCUUUCACCCCCGGUCGCGUGACAUUCUAGCCCAGGUAAGGUUCCUCGCGUAUCAUCGAAUUAAACCACACGCUCCGCUGCUUGUGCGGGCCCCCGCCUAUUCCUUUGAGUUUUAACCUUGCGGCCGUAGUCCCCAGGCGGUGAACUUAAUGCGUUAGCUGCGGCACUGAUCGGGUCAAUCCGACCAACACCUAGUUCACAACGUUUAGGGCGUGGACUAC
This 380-nucleotide unclassified non-coding RNA is filed under the name uncultured bacterium. RNAcentral's name for it is "contains 16S-23S intergenic spacer region". The record is from RNAcentral.